RNAcentral lists this long non-coding RNA (266 nucleotides) under Carica papaya (papaya). RNAcentral describes it as "long non-coding RNA (CPAP_LNC010767)". The record is from RNAcentral. Lineage: Eukaryota; Viridiplantae; Streptophyta; Magnoliopsida; Brassicales; Caricaceae.
UUAGUAGACUAAAAAAUCCAUCACAACAAUAAGUCUUAUGCUGCACCGUCAGCCUUCUACAACAUUAUGCGAUGAGGAAGACUUGUUUGUUGCAGCAUAAGCUUAUUGCAAGUUAAAAUUUGCAUUGCAAAAAAAGUUUCUCAUUGUAGCGAUUGAAUAUUAGGACUUUGAGUGUAAAUUCACAUUGCAGCCUGAAAGUUUUUCACUAUAGCACCACCAUGCUGCCUUAAAGCUUUUUCUUCUUUUUUCUUUCUUCUUAAUAAAGU